RNAcentral lists this ribosomal RNA (253 nucleotides) under uncultured bacterium. Its description in RNAcentral is "partial 16S ribosomal RNA". It matches the Rfam family "Bacterial small subunit ribosomal RNA", at positions 524 to 776 of the family's 1533-position model. The record is from RNAcentral.
UACGGAGGGGGCUAGCGUUGUUCGGAAUUACUGGGCGUAAAGCGCACGUAGGCGGCUUUGCAAGUUAGAGGUGAAAGCCCAGGGCUCAACCCUGGAAUUGCCUUUAAAACUGCAUCGCUAGAAUUGUGGAGAGGUAAGUGGAAUUCCGAGUGUAGAGGUGAAAUUCGUAGAUAUCCGGAAGAACACCAGUGGCGAAGGCGACUUACUGGACACAUAUUGACGCUGAGGUGCGAAAGCGUGGGGAGCAAACAGG